Molecule: unclassified non-coding RNA, 285 nt
Filed under: Hevea brasiliensis (rubber tree)
Lineage: Eukaryota; Viridiplantae; Streptophyta; Magnoliopsida; Malpighiales; Euphorbiaceae
Source: RNAcentral
AGCAGAAACACCUUCAUCAGUAAAGAACUCUGAGAGGAAGUGUGAUGUCUGGAGCUUGCAUUUUGCAAUAAUAUUAGACAGAUGUUUCUUGAAGACAUGGUUUGUACGGGAUACAAGAAAGACGAACAGAUCCCGAAAGCAGCAUAACCAGUUCUCAUUCUUAUCCAAAGGUUCUGUUUCAGCUGCUAUUUUACUAAACGACCCAAGCAGCCUCCAAAACAAGCAAGUCAGAAUUUCACCAUUGACUUCUUUCGGGCUGGUAGCAAGCAUAUGCUUAAUGAUUAU